Long non-coding RNA from Passer domesticus (house sparrow), 359 nucleotides. RefSeq lists it as uncharacterized. Lineage: Eukaryota; Metazoa; Chordata; Aves; Passeriformes; Passeridae. The record is from RefSeq and is a predicted model, not a curated record. The transcript is spliced from 3 exons.
AUCAAAAGGGCUGUUCUGUACCACUGGGUUAAACAUCGGUCAGGUUUUGUGCAAAGGGAUCAUUGGUGGCCAGGCUAAGGAUGGGAUAUACUUGGAUAUGCCUGGAUUCAUACCUGAAUAAUCUACUGACUCAGCAGAUGAUGUAAGAGAGCUGAUGUGGGACAAGAACCUGUAGGGAUGAAAAAGUGACUACCAUCUAAGAUGGGCAUAACAAAGCUCCUCCUGGCUGGUAAGACCCAGGCUAAUUUUUGACUUUCCAGGCAGAACUGUCACUGCAAAUCACAAAGGUCCCAGGCAAAAUCUUGGGUGUGUUAAUGAGCAGAACACAAACAUAGUAAAUCCACCCAAGGAAAGUGGAC